This 402-nucleotide ribosomal RNA is filed under the name uncultured Porphyromonadaceae bacterium. Its description in RNAcentral is "bacterial SSU rRNA". It matches the Rfam family "Bacterial small subunit ribosomal RNA", at positions 355 to 794 of the family's 1533-position model. Lineage: Bacteria; Pseudomonadati; Bacteroidota; Bacteroidia; Bacteroidales; Porphyromonadaceae. The record is from RNAcentral.
UGGGGAAUAUUGGGCAAUGGGCGAAAGCCUGACCCAGCGACGCCGCGUGUGGGAACAAAGCGUGGUUGCGACCGCAGAUGAGUGUACCACAAGAAUAAGCAUCGGCUAACUCCGUGCCAGCAGCCGCGGUAAUACGGAGGAUGCGAGCGUUAUCCGGAUUUAUUGGGUUUAAAGGGUGCGUAGGCGGACUUUCAAGUCAGCGGUAAAAUUUCCGGGCUUAACCUGGUUGUGCCGUUGAAACUGAGAGACUGGAGUGCGCUUGAGGUAGGCGGAAUGCGUUGUGUAGCGGUGAAAUGCAUAGAUAUGACGCAGAACUCCGAUUGCGAAGGCAGCUUACCAAAUCGCUACUGACGCUGAGGCACGAAAGCGUGGGGAUCGAACAGGAUUAGAUACCCUGGUAGU